RNAcentral lists this ribosomal RNA (467 nucleotides) under uncultured bacterium. RNAcentral describes it as "partial 16S ribosomal RNA". It matches the Rfam family "Bacterial small subunit ribosomal RNA", at positions 28 to 507 of the family's 1533-position model. The record is from RNAcentral.
GACGAACGCUGGCGGCGUGCUUAACGCAUGCAAGUCGAACGGAAAGGCCUCUUUCGGGGGGUACUCGAGUGGCGAACGGGUGAGUAACACGUGAGUAACCUGCCCUUGACUUUGGGAUAACUUCAGGAAACUGGGGCUAAUACCGGAUAGGAGCUCCUGCUGCAUGGUGGGGGUUGGAAAGUUUCGGCGGUUGGGGAUGGACUCGCGGCUUAUCAGCUUGUUGGUGGGGUAGUGGCUUACCAAGGCUUUGACGGGUAGCCGGCCUGAGAGGGUGACCGGCCACAUUGGGACUGAGAUACGGCCCAGACUCCUACGGGAGGCAGCAGUGGGGAAUAUUGCACAAUGGGUGGAAGCCUGAUGCAGCAACGCCGUGUGCGGGAUGACGGCCUUCGGGUUGUAAACCGCUUUCGCUCAUGACGAAGCUUUGCGUGACGGUAGUGGGUAAAGAAGCACCGGCUAACUACGUG